GACGAACGCUGGCGGCGUGCUUAACACAUGCAAGUCGAACGGAAAGGCCCUGCUUUUGUGGGGUGCUCGAGUGGCGAACGGGUGAGUAACACGUGAGUAACCUGCCCUUGACUUUGGGAUAACUUCAGGAAACUGGGGCUAAUACCGGAUAGGAGCUCCUGCUGCAUGGUGGGGGUUGGAAAGUUUCGGCGGUUGGGGAUGGACUCGCGGCUUAUCAGCUUGUUGGUGGGGUAGUGGAUUACCAAGGCUUUGACGGGUAGCCGGCCUGGGAGGGUGACCGGCCACAUUGGGACUGAGAUAGGGCCCAGACUCCUACGGGAGGCAGCAGUGGGGAAUAUUGCACAAUGGGCGGAAGCCUGAUGCAGCAACGCCGCGUGCGGGAUGACGGCCUUCGGGUUGUAAACCGCUUUCGCCUGUGGCGAAGCGUGAGUGACGGUAAUGGGUAAAGAAGCACCGGCUAACUACGUG
RNAcentral lists this ribosomal RNA (468 nucleotides) under uncultured bacterium. RNAcentral describes it as "partial 16S ribosomal RNA". It matches the Rfam family "Bacterial small subunit ribosomal RNA", at positions 28 to 507 of the family's 1533-position model. The record is from RNAcentral.